Molecule: ribosomal RNA, 395 nt
Filed under: Ogloblinia loretoensis
Lineage: Eukaryota; Metazoa; Arthropoda; Arachnida; Opiliones; Gonyleptidae
Description: partial small subunit ribosomal RNA
Source: RNAcentral
UAGAUACCCUAGUAUAAUAAAUAUAUAUUAUUUUAUUGAUUAUUAUGAGUUUAGAAAAUUAAUAAAUUUGGUGGUUAAUUUAAUUUUUAGAGGAGCUUGUUGAAGUUAAGAAUUUACUCUAUAUAUUUAAUUUUAAUAGGUGUUUAUUCAUCUCCGUUAAAUUGGAAUAGUAAAAUAAAUUUUUAUUUAGGAUAACAGGUCAAGAUGUAGCUUAUUAAAAUAUAAUAAAAUAAUUAGCUACAUUUAUAUAAUAGUUUUGGCUUUAUUCUGGAAAGUGGGUAAUAAAAUUGAAUUUAUUUGUAAUGGUAUAAAUUAAUAAGCUUACAUGAAAAAGUUUAAUUGAUAUACAGAUUGCCCGUCACUUCUAGGUAAUUUUAUGAAUAAGUCGUAACAAA